CUAGUUUUCAUACUAGAGGUGCACAGCGUGGCAAUCCUAAUGCAAGACCAAAUAAUUUUGAGACCAAUGAUCAAACGGCGCGCCACCAGCACGGCACUGAGGUCAAGGUUCGUGUGGAUGUGGGUGGGAGGCAUGUCAGCCCGCGCCAUAGCACAGAAUACCGGCACCAGUGUCACCACUGUCUGCCGCUGGAUCAGUCGGUGGAAGAAUGAAGGACAUGUAGAGGACAGACAAAGAUGUGGCAGGGCACAUACAUCAUCGGUCUACGUUAACAAUGGGCACACUCCGUCGAUCCUGCUACUUAACCCACAUGUUGACACAAUUUACAAACGCUUCUUCCAGGACGAUUCAGUGCAAUCGUUCUCAUUACAAUGAACAACUCUCAAAUAGGGUCAAAUAAUUUUUCCAAGCCACGUAUCUUAUCAGCAUCUAAUUUGUCCACAGUAAAAUUUACAGACACCUUGGUCAGCACGGCCAGGCUUCGGGGUGUAAAUUAGUCUAACACUAAUAAAUUAAUAAAUAAUUAUAACUGUUUUUACAAUCAACUAAACAUUAUUACUUAUCUCUAAGAAACAGGCUUUACUUACGUAACUCCCUGUAAUGUUAAGAAAGUUUAGUAGAUUAUUACAUA
Scylla paramamosain (green mud crab) is the source of this 631-nucleotide long non-coding RNA. RefSeq lists it as uncharacterized. The transcript has 3 exons. The record is from RefSeq and is a predicted model, not a curated record. Lineage: Eukaryota; Metazoa; Arthropoda; Malacostraca; Decapoda; Portunidae.